UCCAGACUCCUACGGGAGGCAGCAGUGGGGGAUAUUGCACAAUGGGGGGAACCCUGAUGCAGCGACGCCGCGUGGGUGAAGGAGCGUUUCGGCGCGUAAAGCCCUCUCGGCAGGGAAGAAGGAGGACGGUACCUGACUAAGAAGCCCCGGCUAACUACGUGCCAGCAGCCGCGGUAAUACGUAGGGGGCAAGCGUUAUCCGGAUUUACUGGGUGUAAAGGGGGCGCAGACGGCAGCGCAAGCCAGGAGUGAAAGCCCGGGGCCCAACCCCGGGACUGCUCUUGGAACUGCGCGGCUGGAGUGCAGGAGGGGCAGGCGGAAUUCCUGGUGUAGCGGUGAAAUGCGUAGAUAUCAGGAGGAACACCGGUGGCGAAGGCGGCCUGCUGGACUGCGACUGACGUUGAGGCCCGAAAGCGUGGGGAGCAAACAGGAUUAGAUACCCGCGUAUGC
Molecule: ribosomal RNA, 449 nt
Filed under: uncultured bacterium
Lineage: Bacteria
Description: partial 16S ribosomal RNA
Rfam family: Bacterial small subunit ribosomal RNA
Source: RNAcentral